This 67-nucleotide transfer RNA is filed under the name Goggia lineata. RNAcentral's name for it is "tRNA-Trp". The record is from RNAcentral. Lineage: Eukaryota; Metazoa; Chordata; Lepidosauria; Squamata; Gekkonidae.
AAGUUUAGGUUAACUUAAACCAAGGACCUUCAAAGCCCUAAAUAGGGAUAUAACCCCCUAACUCCUG